AAAAAGUUGUUUACUCGCAUCAUCAUUUUUGUGUGUGUGUUUUUUUCCCCUCCGACGUGUUUACCAAUCAACGAAUCAUCGUCCUUGAUUUCGUAACAUUGGCCAAUCAAAGGCAAUAACAUGGGAUUUAAAAUUUCUCUCCAUAUAAAAUUAAAAAGUGUUUACUUAAAUGUAACGUAAUUAUCGUGGAAUCAUUUCGAAAUAUAUUUACAUUAAAAACUUUCUAAGAAAAAUAGCAUUAAAAUUCUUUCCCGAUACGAAAAUUUAUCGCGCGUAGAUCACAAAUAAAAAAAAGAAAAAACAAGAAAAAAAAGUGUGCAAUUUUUAGUAAAACAUCGAAGGUGUGUUUUUAUACCGACAUGUUUGUGAUAAAUGGCAGGAAAAAUCAUCAAGAAUAUCAAGACCUGUUUCGGAUAUUUUGUAUUCUUCAUUUAUAUUCAUCGAGUGUUCGGGUGGCACCCAAAAAGAAAUCAAGCCCCGAGCGACUGCCAUGUUUUAGUGUAUCCUACAGAAUUUGACAGUAUAGUUUACAUAUUGGUGUAUAGGCAGUUUCCUUGUUCAGACAAGGAAUGUUUGACCUCAACCGAAUUCUUAUAAAAAUUAAUUAUAGAUAACAGAGUAUUGGUUCUAUAGUAUCUGUUAAUUAUCUCGCUUUUGGUUACAGAUAAUAAUUAUCUCGAAC
This 682-nucleotide long non-coding RNA is filed under the name Androctonus crassicauda. Lineage: Eukaryota; Metazoa; Arthropoda; Arachnida; Scorpiones; Buthidae. The record is from RNAcentral.